CAGGUAGUUGGUGAGGUAACGGCUCACCAAGCCUAUGACGGGUAGCUGAUUUGAGAGAAUGAUCAGCCAGAAUGGAACUGAGACACGGUCCAUACUCCUACGGGAGGCAGCAGUGAGGAAUCUUCCGCAAUGGGCGAAAGCCUGACGGAGCGACACCGCGUGAAGGAUGAAGUCUUUUUUAGACGUAAACUUCUGUUCUGAGGGACGAAAUUUUUGACGGUACCUCAGGAGAAAGCAUCGGCUAACCCUGUGCCAGCAGCCGCGGUAAGACAGGGGAUGCAAGCGUUACUCGGAAUUACUGGGCGUAAAGCGUCUGCAGGUUUCUUUUCAAGUCUGGUGUAAAAGCACUGGAGCUCAACUCCGUGUAUGUGCCGGAAACUAAAGAGAUAGAGUCAUUCAGAGGCAUCUGGAAUGUCGUGUGUAGGGGUAAAAUCCGUAGAUCCACGAUGGAACGCCAAAAGCGAAGGGAGGAUGCUGGGGAUGUACUGACACUCAGAGACGAAAGCGUGGGGAGCAAAGGGGAUUAGAU
Molecule: ribosomal RNA, 529 nt
Filed under: uncultured bacterium
Lineage: Bacteria
Description: SSU rRNA
Rfam family: Bacterial small subunit ribosomal RNA
Source: RNAcentral